UUGCACGGUCUGAUUAGUGGCGAACGGGUGAGUAACACGUGAGUAACCUGCCCUCCACUUCGGGAUAACCUCGGGAAAUCGUGGCUAAUACCGGAUAUGAGCACUCAUCGCAUGGUGGGUGUUGGAAAGAUUUAUCGGUGGGGGAUGGACUCGCGGCCUAUCAGUUUGUUGGUGAGGUGAUGGCUCACCAAGACGAUGACGGGUAGCCGGCCUGAGAGGGCGACCGGCCACACUGGGACUGAGACACGGCCCAGACUCCUACGGGAGGCAGCAGUGGGGAAUAUUGCACAAUGGGCGAAAGCCUGAUGCAGCGACGCCGCGUGAGGGAUGACGGCCUUCGGGUUGUAAACCUCUUUCAGUAGGGAAGAAGCGAGAGUGACGGUACCUGCAGAAGAAGCGCCGGCUAACUACGUGCCAGCAGCCGCGGUAAUACGUAGGGCGCAAGCGUUGUCCGGAAUUAUUGGGCGUAAAGAGCUUGUAGGUGGCUUGUCGCGUCUGCCGUGAAAACCCGAGGCUCAACCUCGGGCGUGCGGUGGGUACGGGCAGGCUAGAGUGUGGUAGGGGAGACUGGAACUCCUGGUGUAGCGGUGAAAUGCGCAGAUAUCAGGAAGAACACCGAUGGCGAAGGCAGGUCUCUGGGCCAUUACUGACACUGAGAAGCGAAAGCAUGGGUAGCGAACAGGAUUAGAUACCCUGGUAGUCCAUGCCGUAAACGUUGGGCACUAGGUGUGGGGGACAUUCCACGUUUUCCGCGCCGUAGCUAACGCA
RNAcentral lists this ribosomal RNA (768 nucleotides) under bacterium. RNAcentral's name for it is "bacterial SSU rRNA". It matches the Rfam family "Bacterial small subunit ribosomal RNA", at positions 79 to 859 of the family's 1533-position model. The record is from RNAcentral.